AGUUUGAUCAUGGCUCAGGACAAACGCUAAACGGUGUGCUUAAUACAUGCAAGUCGAACGAGCAAUGUAAGAGUGGCAACACUCCUGCAAAGCUAGUGGCGAACGGGUGAGUAAUGCGUAGGUAAUCUACCUUGGAGAUUGGAAUAACUUUCUGAAAGGAAAGCUAAUACUAGAUAUUUUAUAUUUUUCGCAUGAUUAAUGUAAGAAAGGUAGCCGCAAGGCCUCUGCUCCGGGAUGAGCCUGCGUCCUAUUAGUUUGUUGGUAAGGUAAUGGCUUACCAAGGCUAUGAUGGGUAGCCGGCCUGAGAGGGUGAUCGGCCACAUUGGGACUGAGAUACGGCCCAGACUCCUACGGGAGGCAGCAGUAGGGAAUAUUGCGCAAUGGGCGAAAGCCUGACGCAGCGACACCGUGUGAAGGAUGAAGGUCUUCGGAUCGUAAACUUCUGUCGAUUGGAGACGAAGGUAGUAGAGUUAAUAGCUCAAAUACUGACGGUAUCUAAUAAGGAAGUCUCGGCUAACUCCGUGCCAGCAGCCGCGGUAAGACGGAGGAGGCAAGCGUUGUCCGGAAUCAUUGGGCGUAAAGAGCGCGUAGGCUGUUUUUUAAGUCAUAUGUGAAAACAUCAGGCUUAACUUGAUGAUUGCAUAUGAAACUGGAUAACUUGAGUACAGCAGAGGAAAGUGGAAUUCCUGGUGUAGCGGUGAAAUGCGCAGAUAUCAGGAAGAACACCAGUGGCGAAGGCGGCUUUCUGGGCUGUUACUGACGCUGAGGCGCGAAAGCUAGGGGAGCGAACAGGAUUAGAUACCCUGGUAGUCCUAGCUGUAAACGAUGGACACUAGGUGUGGGAAGUUAUCGACGCUUUCUGUGCCGGAGUUAACGCAUUAAGUUCCCGCCUGGAGACCCGACCC
This 905-nucleotide ribosomal RNA is filed under the name uncultured bacterium. RNAcentral describes it as "bacterial SSU rRNA". It matches the Rfam family "Bacterial small subunit ribosomal RNA", at positions 10 to 887 of the family's 1533-position model. The record is from RNAcentral.